AACCCGGCUUGAGACGGGCCUCAUUGUGACGCGGAUCUGGAUUUGGGGUCGUCUGCGCCAUCCCCGAUGUACCCGGUGGCCACCAUGCACCGCGGGCACAAGCCGCCGUGCGCCUGCACUCAAUUGGCUCCGUGGCUCCUCUUCCUGCCUAAGCUCGUCCGCCCCGCGACUCCCCUUUGUGCAGACUUUUUUCAACCCAAUCAUUGGUCCGGCGAGUCCCAACUGGCAGCCUAACGCCGACGAGCCCGUCUACUGUUGUGGUGUUGAAGCUGUAAGUGAAAAAUAAUGUCGCUGAAGAUGGUGGCUGUAACAAUAGCAGGAGGAUGAUGCAUGCCAUGCACUUUCAGAGGAAACAACAGUUCAGAAAUUGACAACGGAGGGUAGGAGAGAGGUAUGGGAGUAUUGACGACCAGCAAGCAAAGCAAGAGGAAAACCAAGGGGGCAGCGCCAUCCGUGCGCCACGACCACCUAGCGGGGUGGAGCUAGGUCUAGGAAAGCAUUGUCACGAGUGAUCGAGGAACUGGGCCGUAUCACCGGUCCUCACUAAAUUCUAAUACCAUGUCAAAGCAUCAUCAUUUUGAGGUUUUAUGCACACGCCCAAGCAAGAAGCUUCAGUAUCCACUUCCAAUUCUUGGUGCAUGGUCAUGGCCAUCAGAGGAGACGGGCGCGAGUGGAGCUUUCAUCUGGAUCGAGAUCUGGGAGGAGUGGAGGAUGGAGGCAUGGGAAGAAGGGAACUCACGUCCUUUUCCUGGAAGUGAUACGGGAGGCGGGAGGUGGUGUGUGGGUUGCUACGUGAGACAUCUACCCCACCUCCACUUAAAAUUAGGGGGGAGAGAUUAGAUGCUUUAU
Long non-coding RNA from Triticum dicoccoides, 849 nucleotides. RefSeq lists it as uncharacterized. Lineage: Eukaryota; Viridiplantae; Streptophyta; Magnoliopsida; Poales; Poaceae. The record is from RefSeq and is a predicted model, not a curated record. The transcript has 5 exons.